UGUGACAAGAUUUGUCUCUUCCAUGGU
Molecule: non-coding RNA, 27 nt
Filed under: Rattus norvegicus (Norway rat)
Lineage: Eukaryota; Metazoa; Chordata; Mammalia; Rodentia; Muridae
Source: RNAcentral